This 800-nucleotide ribosomal RNA is filed under the name Nadsonia commutata. Its description in RNAcentral is "LSU rRNA". The stretch from base 85 to 800 matches the Rfam family "Eukaryotic large subunit ribosomal RNA", at positions 1 to 735 of the family's 3401-position model. Lineage: Eukaryota; Fungi; Ascomycota; Dipodascomycetes; Dipodascales. The record is from RNAcentral.
UUUCUUACAACGUAUUAGGUUUUACCAACUCGUUGGCUACAGUAAGUUUGAAAAUAAAGCCUGGCUUUAGAACUCUCUAAAGUUUGACCUCGGAUCAGGUAGGAUUACCCGCUGAACUUAAGCAUAUCAAUAAGCGGAGGAAAAGAAACCAACAGGGAUUACCUUAGUAACGGCGAGUGAAGCGGUAAAAGCUCAAAUUUGAAAUCUAGCGUCUUUGGCGUUCGAGUUGUAAUUUGAAGAUGGUAACCUUGGAUAUAGUCUUCGGCUAUGUUCCUUGGAACAGGACGUCACAGAGGGUGAGAAUCCCGUGUGCUGAGGUGUCUAUAUCCAUGUAAGGUGCUAUCGAAGAGUCGAGUUGUUUGGGAAUGCAGCUCUAAGUGGGUGGUAAAUUCCAUCUAAAGCUAAAUAUUGGCGAGAGACCGAUAGCGAACAAGUACAGUGAUGGAAAGAUGAAAAGAACUUUGAAAAGAGAGUGAAAAAGUACGUGAAAUUGUUGAAAGGGAAGGGCAUGAGGUCAGACUUGGUAUUAAGUGAUCAUUUCCUCUCGGGGAGGUGCUCUCGCUUUUUACUGGGCCAGCAUCAGUUUGGGCGGUAAGAUAAUGACAUUGGAAUGUGGCAUUCUUCGGGAUGUGUUAUAGCCUUUGUUGAUGUUGCCAGCCUGGACUGAGGACCGCGCAUUAUUGCUAGGAUGCUGGCGUAAUGGCCUUAUGCCGCCCGUCUUGAAACACGGACCAAGGAGUCUAACGUCUAUGCAAGUGUUUGGGUGUAAAACCCGUACGCGUAAUGAAAGUGAACGUAGG